UCUCAAAGAUUAAGCCAUGCAUGUCUAAGUGCACACCUUAAAACGGUGAAACCGCGAAUGGCUCAUUAAAUCAGCUAUGGUUCCUUAGAUCAUAUAUCCUACUUGGAUAACUGUGGUAAUUCUAGAGCUAAUACAUGCCUCGAAGCCUUGACCUAACGGAAGAGGCGCACUUAUUAGAUCAAAACCAACCGGACUUCGGUUCGCUGGCUUGAUGACUCUGGAUAAUUUCACAGAUCGCACGGCCUUUGCGUCGGCGAUGUAUCUUUCAAAUGUCUGCCCUAUCAACUUUUGAUGGUAGGUAAUUUGCCUACCAUGGUGAUAACGGGUAACGGGGAAUCAGGGUUCGAUUCCGGAGAGGGAGCCUGAGAAAUAGCUACCACAUCCAAGGAAGGCAGCAGGCGCGCAAAUUACCCACUCCCGGCACGGGGAGGUAGUGACGAAAAAUAACGAUACGGGACUCAUUCGAGGCCCCGUAAUUGGAAUGAGUACACUUUAAAUCCUUUAACGAGGAUCAAUUGGAGGGCAAGUCUGGUGCCAGCAGCCGCGGUAAU
This 551-nucleotide ribosomal RNA is filed under the name Pseudosyrtis sp. AGK-2011. RNAcentral's name for it is "SSU rRNA". It matches the Rfam family "Eukaryotic small subunit ribosomal RNA", at positions 35 to 583 of the family's 1831-position model. The record is from RNAcentral. Lineage: Eukaryota; Metazoa; Platyhelminthes; Proseriata; Otoplanidae.